Molecule: ribosomal RNA, 459 nt
Filed under: uncultured bacterium
Lineage: Bacteria
Description: partial 16S ribosomal RNA
Rfam family: Bacterial small subunit ribosomal RNA
Source: RNAcentral
CCUACGGGUGGCAGCAGUGAGGAAUAUUGGUCAAUGGUCGGGAGACUGAACCAGCCAAGCCGCGUGAGGGAGGAAGGUACAGAGUAUCGUAAACCUCUUUUGUCAGGGAACAAAGGCGGGGACGUGUCCCCGGAUGAGUGUACCUGAAGAAAAAGCAUCGGCUAACUCCGUGCCAGCAGCCGCGGUAAUAGGGAGGAUGCGAGGGUUAUCCGGAUUUAUUGGGUUUAACGGGUGCGCAGGCGGUCUGUUAAGUCAGCGGUAAAAGCCCGGGGCUCAACCCCGGCCCGCCGUUGAAACUGGCAGUCUCGAGUUGGAGAGAAGUAUGCGGAAUGCGCGGUGUAGCGGUGAAAUGCAUAGAUAUCGCGCAGAACUCCGAUUGCGAAGGCAGCAUGCCGGCUCCACACUGACGCUGAGGCACGAAAGCGUGGGUAUCGAACAGGAUUAGAUACCCCUGUAGUC